UCUUUGUGUACCUAGCCCCACAGGUGUGCAAUAAACCCAGAGAAAUCCCAGAAACGGUGUUGAACCCAGCACCUUCAACGUCUGGUGACACUGGUAAAAUUUCUUAUUUUGAAUAGUGAUUGACAUAUGUACGUGAAAUAAUAAUCUUGCAUUCAUUAUCUUGUUGUAGUUGAUGGCUCAUAAAAGAAUUUCUUACAUGCUGUUUCAAAUGAAUUUCCUUCUAUAGAUAGUGCUUAUUUUUCUUGCAUUUAAUAUGCAUUCUAUGUAGUGUUUUGUCUGAAACCUGUUAAAAUCCCUAUAGAACCUCAGAAAAGAGUUGACAACAAGAAAGCCAAUCGAAGGUCAACAGAUGCAACUUUUCCUGACCCGUGUGGACCACCGUGCGAAGCUCUGACAAAGCCUGAGAACAUUUUGGCCAGCCGUUCAUCAUGGUGUUUUGUACCGCACCCUGGCCAACAACAGCUUCUCAACUAUGUUCUGGACAUCAGCAGACCCAAAGAUGAGCUGAUUGUUGAAACGUCUUCUGGAUGCCUCACGCGGUCAGAUUUUUGGACACUGGGUUUAAACAAAGAAAUGGAAUCGACUGUAAGUAUUUUUUUUCUACGAAUAUGAAAAAAUAAAGUGUACAUUCAUUGUUAUCAUGAUUUUUUUCUGUUUCAGAUUGGAAAUGGCUGUUUUGAGCUUAUCACUAAAAUUGUUCAGUCAAAGGUACUGUAUGUUGUAUAUGAUGAUUGUCAAGCUUUAAUUUAAAGAGCUGUUGUUUUAAAUGUUUUUUUGUUUUUUUUUUUUACAUUCUAGGGGAUAAGCAUUUACAUCGAAAAUCUGUAUGUCACCCGGACUUGGCUUGCACCCUAUGGCUGUGAUCCAUUGCGGUCCUUUCCUGUAAGUGUACCGUCCUUUAAAGAAACAAGCAAGUAAUCCAAAUGAUUUUUUUUAUAACUUUGGUGCGAGUUCAUAUACAGGAUACUUAAAAAUACAAUUCUGUUUCAGACUGAUGCUCAGAGGAUGGACAUCAUAGUUCUCCCUCUCUGGACACCUGGUCAUUUCCAGUUGUGUGUAAGUCUUGUUUUUUGACACGUACAAACUGUUAGAAUUUUGCUAUGUGUCUGAGAUGUAUUCAAGCUUUUAUGACGCAGUUUCAAAAGUCUUUGACUGUGAUCGCUUGCAAUGACAUUGUUUUCAGGUUUGAAGUCAUGGCUAACUGUCUUUUAGGUACUGAAGCCACCUAAAAGAGAAAUCCUCUUUCUUGACCCAUUAUACACCAAGGCAGGAUUUGGUGGCCAACAAUAUGUUUCACUUUUGAGGUCACAUUUUUAUAAGCAUUUUUGGUUUGUUCCGGAGUUUUCAGGAACCUGUUCAGUGUUCCAGGUUAAGUGCAUCCCAGAUCAUGUUCUGCUGAUCUUGAGUGUUCACACAUACAGUACACUCACAUGCUUUUUCUAUAAACUAUAUCAGCAAGUUUCUGUGUGGAGUUUGCAUGUUCUCCCCAUGUUUGCGUGAGUUCCCUCCGGGUACUCCGGCUUCCUCCCACCGUCUAAAGACAUGCAGCUUGUGGGGAUAGGUUAAUUGGAUAAUCCAAAUUGCCACUAGGUGUGAAUGUGGGAGUGAAUGUGAGUGUGAAUGGUUGUCUGUCCCUGUGUGUUAGCCCUGCGACAGACUGGCGACCUGUCCAGUCUGUCGCCCUAUGACAGCUGGGAUAGGCUCCAGCGCCCCCCGUGACCCUGAAAAGGAUAAGCGGAAGCGAAUGGAUGGAUGGAUGGAUGGAUGGAUGGAUAUAUCAGCAUGAUGCUUCAACAUUUUAUUCUCAUCUUCAAAUUAUGAUCAAGUCAGUGAUACUGUCUGUAGAUGAGUUUCAGACAUAAAUUGGGUCUUCCAGUGUUCUAUUUUAACAUAAAACACCAUUAAAAAUUAUUUUAUAAAAUAUGCCAACAUUAACUUAAAGCUGUAAAUGCUUUAUUUUGACCAACUGUGAGCAUGUGACUGUACUUUUUCAUUUUGUUAUGCUGUUUUUUUGAGGUCGUGUUCCUAAGGCCUGUAGUUACAGUUGGUGCUAUUAGCAAUAAACAUUUCACACCCAUCAUGAUCAUCAUCUGUUAACUUGUGAAUGUAACUGUUUUUUUUAAAAAAAAAAGGAAUCUUGCAGUGAAGAUCAUUCCCGGGCAGUGGUCAGAAAAAAAGAGCUGUGACUUGAAGGGUUUUCCAAGCCAAGACUAUGGAGUUGACUGUGGGAUCUUCAUGCUGAUGGUAAUUUGUCUCUUCUCUUCUUGAGAUUCAUACAGAAGCUAAUUUAAGCUUCUAAAGAAAAAUGACAUUUUUAUUUUUUCUUACAAAUAGUCUGCUCUGUACGUGGCACUGGAUGCUUCAUUUGACUAUACUAUAUCAGACAUGCCCUACUUGCGUAAAUGGUGGUGCUUGCUGUUGAUGGAGAACUUUGAUCUCAGGAGCUCUGGCAAGCUAUUUGCACACUGGAGAGAGGAAGCCAAAGCUGUGCUUGAAGGACAACACGUGCCCAUUUUCAGAGUGAAAAAGCGCAAGUUACAGGAAGUCAGUCAGGAGCCAGCAGUUGUUGCAGAUCUGCGUCCUGCUGUGCAGUGGGUUGUCCAAAAUAAGGCACUUUUCCGUGGACACGUAACAAUGCCCAAAUAUGUGUCCUUAAAUCAAGGAGACCAGCAGAGGGUCUUAAGAGACAUGUCAGAGGAAGAAGACACUGGAGCAAGGGACUUGUUCCUCUUUGUUUUUCAGUUUGCAGAGGACAUGGAGCUCUUUUUGAAUGCAUGUGCUGAUGAGCAGGGGCUAAGGGUCAGUGCUAUGUUUGACAUGUGAUGGACAAAUGAAGGCACUGGCUGUGUUUGUUUGUUUGUUUAAUAUGUUGUUGUUGUUGUUGUUUUUGCGUAGUACAAAAUUCCUAUUAAACUUAUUUCAAAAUGUU
Long non-coding RNA from Astatotilapia calliptera (eastern happy), 2929 nucleotides. Lineage: Eukaryota; Metazoa; Chordata; Actinopteri; Cichliformes; Cichlidae. The record is from Ensembl.